Molecule: ribosomal RNA, 430 nt
Filed under: uncultured microorganism
Description: bacterial SSU rRNA
Rfam family: Bacterial small subunit ribosomal RNA
Source: RNAcentral
GAGUUUGAUCCUGGCUCAGAACGAACGCUGGCGGCAUGCCUAACACAUGCAAGUCGAACGAGAUCUUCGGAUCUAGUGGCGCACGGGUGCGUAACGCGUGGGAAUCUGCCCUUGGGUGCGGAAUAACUUCUCGAAAGGGAUGCUAAUACCGCAUAAUGUCGUAAGACCAAAGAUUUAUCGCCCAAGGAUGAGCCCGCGUAAGAUUAGCUAGUUGGUGGGGUAAAAGCCUACCAAGGCGACGAUCUUUAGCUGGUCUGAGUAGGAUGAUCAGCCACACUGGGACUGAGACACGGCCCAGACUCCUACGGGAGGCAGCAGUGGGGAAUAUUGGGACAAUGGGCGAAAGCCUGAUCCAGCAAUGCCGCGUGAGUGAUGAAGGCCCUAGGGUUGUAAAGCUCUUUUACCCGGGAUGAUAAUGACAGUACCGGAG